This 31-nucleotide non-coding RNA is filed under the name Mus musculus (house mouse). Lineage: Eukaryota; Metazoa; Chordata; Mammalia; Rodentia; Muridae. The record is from RNAcentral.
CAGGUUUAAUACGUGUUGCCUUUUGCCCAGC